UGGGGAAUAUUGCACAAUGGACGGAAGUUUGAUGCAGCGACGCCGCGUGGAGGGAGUAGGCCUUCGGGUUGUGAACUCCUUUUUCUCGCGAAAAAGGCACAGUUUUGGCUGUGUUGAUGGUAGUGGGGGAAGAAGCGCCGGCUAACUACGUGCCAGCAGCCGCGGUAAUACGUAGGGCGCGAGCGUUGUCCGGAUUUAUUGGGCGUAAAGAGCUCGUAGGUGGUUCGUCGCGUCUGUCGUGAAAGCCAGCAGCUUAACUGUUGGUCUGCGGUGGGUACGGGCGGGCUUGAGUGCGGUAGGGGUGACUGGAAUUCCUGGUGUAGCGGUCGAAUGCGCAGAUAUCAGGAGGAACACCGAUGGCGAAGGCAGGUCACUGGGCCGUUACUGACACUGAGGAGCGAAAGCGUGGGGAGCGAACAGG
RNAcentral lists this ribosomal RNA (421 nucleotides) under Fusobacteriota bacterium. RNAcentral's name for it is "Fusobacteria bacterium partial 16S ribosomal RNA". It matches the Rfam family "Bacterial small subunit ribosomal RNA", at positions 355 to 776 of the family's 1533-position model. Lineage: Bacteria; Fusobacteriati; Fusobacteriota. The record is from RNAcentral.